This 253-nucleotide ribosomal RNA is filed under the name uncultured bacterium. RNAcentral describes it as "partial 16S ribosomal RNA". It matches the Rfam family "Bacterial small subunit ribosomal RNA", at positions 524 to 776 of the family's 1533-position model. The record is from RNAcentral.
GACAGAGGGGGCAAGCGUUGCUCGGAAUUACUGGGCGUAAAGGGCGCGUAGGCGGGCUGGCAAGUCGGUGGUGAAAUCCUUCGGCUCAACCGGAGAACGUCGAUCGAUACUGCUGUUCUUGAGGGUUGCAGAGGAGACUGGAAUUCCCGGUGUAGCGGUGAAAUGUGUAGAGAUCGGGAGGAACACCGGUGGCGAAGGCGGGUCUCUGGGCAAUUCCUGACGCUGAGGCGCGAAAGCGUGGGGAGCAAACGGG